UCAAAGAUUAAGCCAUGCAUGUCUCAGUAUAAGCAACUUGUACGUGUGAAACUGCGAAUGGCUCAUUAAAUCAGUUAUAAUUUAUUUGAUAGUGAUUUACUACAUGGAUAGCCGUAGUAAUUCUAGAGCUAAUACAUGCACAAUAGACCCGACUCGUGAGGGAAGGGUUGUGUUUAUUAGAUCAAAAACCAACGAUUAGGAAAGGGGAGAGGAGGAAACUGUUAAAAAAUAGGUAAAUAGGGUAAAACCUAUUUAUUGAUUUUCUAAUUUUCUUUCUUUCUUUCCCAUAAACUUUCUUAAAAAAAAAUUUGGUGAAUCAUGAUAAAUGUCGAAUCAUUCAUUAAGAAUGAUGUGUCAUUCAAAUUUCUGCCCUAUCAACUUGUUGGUAGGAUCGGGGCCUACCACGGUAUUGACGGGUAACGGAGGAUUAGGGUUCGAUUCCGGAGAGGGAGCCUGAGAGAUGGCUACUACUUCUAAGGAAGGCAGCAGGCGCGCAAAUUACCCAAUCCCAAUAAUAUUUGGGGAGGUAGUGACAAAAAAUACGGAUGCUGGCUUUUUUUAUAAAGGUCGGUAAUUGGAAUGGGGUGGAUGUAAAUUGUCCACCGAGCAGCCAUUAGAGGGCAAGUCUGGUGCCAGCAGCCGCGGUAAUUCCAGCUCUAAUAGUGUAUACUAAAAUUGCUGCAGUUAAAAAGCUCGUAGUUGGAUUUAGGAUGGGACUUUAUAUCUUCGUGUUUUUUGCCGAUUAUUGUUUCGGAAGAACGAUACGUAACUUCUUUGAAAAGACUAUUGUUAUUUCUGCAAUUGAUUGGUCGCGAAGGUUGUUCCGUCCAUGAAUAUUUUCGGGAAUAUGUAAUCCCCUUUAUUGGGCUGGUUAGAUAAGUUCGGAGGAUUUACUUUGAAGAAAUUGUAGUGUUCAAAGCAGGCGUUUCGCAGCUGAACACAUUAGCAUGGAAUAAUAAAAUAGGACAUCCGAGUAUUUAAUUCCCGCCCUAUGAGCUACGCAUCGACUUCUUCGGAAGAAGAGGAAAUUUUAUUCAAAGGGAAGGAAAUAAAUCACAAUCUUUCGAAAGAGAGGUUGGCUUGUUUAUCCCUUUCUUGAGAAUAUUUUUUCUCUUCGAAAGAAACGCGAUGCGAUUUUUGAGACGUGGGGAGAUGGGGGUUGUACACUUGUAAGAAAGUUCCAUUUUGUUGGUAAUAUGGAGAGGGUGUAAUGAUUAAUAGGGACGGUUGGGGGCAUCCGUAUUGCAUUGUCAGAGGUGAAAUUCUUGGAUUUAUGCAAGACGAACUAGUGCGAAAGCAUUUGCCAAGGAUGUUUUCAUUAAUCAAGAACGAAAGUUAGGGGAUCGAAGGCGAUCAGAAACCGCCGUAGUCUUAACUAUAAACGAUACCAACUAGGGAUUGGGGAGUUGUUUAAAAAAGAACCUCGUCAGCACCUUUAGAGAAAUCAAAGUCUCUGGGUUCUGGGGGGAGUAUGGUCGCAAGGCUGAAACUUAAAGAAAUUGACGGAAGGGCACCACCAGGUGUGGAGCCUGCGGCUUAAUUCGACUCAACACGGGGAAACUCACCAGGUCCAGACACGGGAAGGAUUGACAGAUUGAUAGCUCUUUCUUGAUUCUGUGGGUGGUGGUGCAUGGUCGUUCUUAGUUGGUGGAGUGAUUUGUCUGGUUAAUUCCGAUAACGAACGAGACCUUAACCUGCUAACUAGCUCGGCGUUUUUUAGACAAAAACGUUUUACAUUUUUCUCUUUGGAGAAAGAAAGUGAGUGAGCUUCUUAGAGGGACUACCAUGGUUGCACAUGGUGGAAGCUUGAGGCAAUAACAGGUCUGUGAUGCCCUUAGAUGUCCUGGGCCGCACGCGCGCUACAAUGAUGCAGUCAAUGAGUUUGUGCUUUGCUCGGAAGAGUUGGCUAAUCUUAGCAAACUGCAUCGUGCUGGGGAUUGAUCUUUGUAAUUUUGGAUCAUGAACCAGGAAUACCUAGUAAGUGCAAGUCAUCAGCUUGCGCUGAUUACGUCCCUGCCCUUUGUACACACCGCCCGUCGCUCCUACCGAUUGAAUGAUCAGAUGAAACGCUCGGAUUUGUGGGAUGUUGAAGAAAUUUAACGUCCUGUGGAGAAGAGUGGUAAAUCUUAUUAUUUAGA
RNAcentral lists this ribosomal RNA (2138 nucleotides) under Oxymonas sp. KfOx. RNAcentral describes it as "SSU rRNA". It matches the Rfam family "Eukaryotic small subunit ribosomal RNA". The record is from RNAcentral. Lineage: Eukaryota; Preaxostyla; Oxymonadida; Oxymonadidae.